ACAGACUGAAAAUGACCUCAGAUGUGUGUUUGUGGUCUGGGGUCAGAUAACUGUGCCUAAAGUAAGGUGGUGCAUUAAGCUUAUUGUGUUUGUGUCAUGGUGACAAAUGUGAUAAAACUUGUGCACCAACAUGU
Molecule: small nucleolar RNA, 134 nt
Organism: Hippocampus comes (tiger tail seahorse)
Lineage: Eukaryota; Metazoa; Chordata; Actinopteri; Syngnathiformes; Syngnathidae
Source: Ensembl